RNAcentral lists this ribosomal RNA (249 nucleotides) under uncultured bacterium. RNAcentral describes it as "partial 16S ribosomal RNA". It matches the Rfam family "Bacterial small subunit ribosomal RNA", at positions 528 to 776 of the family's 1533-position model. The record is from RNAcentral.
UAGGGUGCAAGCGUUAAUCGGAAUUACUGGGCGUAAAGCGUGCGCAGGCGGCUUUGCAAGACAGAUGUGAAAUCCCCGGGCUUAACCUGGGAACUGCAUUUGUGACUGCAUGGCUGGAGUGCGGCAGAGGGGGAUGGAAUUCCGCGUGUAGCAGUGAAAUGCGUAGAUAUGCGGAGGAACACCGAUGGCGAAGGCAAUCCCCUGGGCCUGCACUGACGCUCAUGCACGAAAGCGUGGGGAGCAAACAGG